AAUGAACGCUGGCGGCAGGCCUAACACAUGCAAGUCGAACGGAUCCUUCGGGAUUAGUGGCGGACGGGUGAGUAACGCGUGGGAACAUACCCUUUGGUACGGAAUAGCCUCGGGAAACUGGGAGUAAUACCGUAUGUGGUCGAGAGACGAAAGAUUUAUCGCCAAAGGAUUGGCCCGCGUUGGAUUAGGUAGUUGGUGGGGUAAUGGCCUACCAAGCCAACGAUCCAUAGCUGGUUUGAGAGGAUGAUCAGCCACACUGGGACCGAGACGCGGCCCAGACUCCUACGGGAGGCAGCAGUGGGGAAUCUUAGACAAUGGGGGAAACCCUGAUUUAGCCAUGCCGCGUGAUCGAUGAAGGCCUUAGGGUUGUAAAGAUCUUUCAGGUGGGAAGAUAAUGACUGUACCACCAGAAGAAGCCCCGGCUAACUCCGUGCCAGCAGCCGCAGUAA
Molecule: ribosomal RNA, 449 nt
Filed under: uncultured bacterium
Lineage: Bacteria
Description: partial 16S ribosomal RNA
Rfam family: Bacterial small subunit ribosomal RNA
Source: RNAcentral